Molecule: ribosomal RNA, 495 nt
Filed under: uncultured bacterium
Lineage: Bacteria
Description: partial 16S ribosomal RNA
Rfam family: Bacterial small subunit ribosomal RNA
Source: RNAcentral
GAUGAACGCUGGCGGCGUGCUUAACACAUGCAAGUCGAGCGAAGCAAUUUAAGUGAAGGUUUCGGAUGGAACUGAGAUUGACUGAGCGGCGGACGGGUGAGUAACGCGUGGAUAACCUUCCUCACACAGGGGGAUAACAGUUAGAAAUGACUGCUACUACCGCAUAAGCGCACGGCAUAGCCUGCUGCAGUGUGAAAAACUCCGGUGGCGUGAGAUGGAUCCGAGUCUGAUUAGGUAGUUGGUGGGGCAACGGCCCACGAAGCCGACGAUCAGUAGCCGACCUGAGAGGGUGACCGGCCACAUUGGGACUGAGACACGGCCCAAACUCCUACGGGAGGCAGCAGUGGGGAAUAUUGCACAAUGGGCGAAAGCCUGAUGCAGCGACGCCGCGUGAGUGAAGAAGUAUCUCGGUAUGUAAAGCUCUAUCAGCAGGGAAGAAAAUGACGGUACCUGAGGAGGAAGCCACGGCUAACUACGUGCCAGCCGCCGCAGUAA